Molecule: long non-coding RNA, 1771 nt
Filed under: Ananas comosus (pineapple)
Lineage: Eukaryota; Viridiplantae; Streptophyta; Magnoliopsida; Poales; Bromeliaceae
Description: long non-coding RNA (ACOM_LNC021433)
Source: RNAcentral
GUUCAAUCGACCGUCAUGUCGUUGAACUAAUCAUUUUCUCUCUUAUUAUAUUAUAUUCAUGUACACCGGGAGUAUGUCCCUGGUUAAGCUAUGUAAUUAUACAGUGAAUUAUGUUAUAAAAUUUAUUUUUUAUUUAAUUUCAGUUUAUUUCUGCAUUAUAGAGGUCUUUUAAUCGAAGGUGCCUAACAUUUUAUGGGGGUAAUUAAUAGUAAAUGCUUGCAUCUAUUGGGAACCAUGAAUCUAUAAUACUUGAUACCUAUAUAUAUACUUUAAUAUUAAUCUGAAUCAUGAAUACUAUCCCAUGAAAAGUCAAAAUAAGAUUAACCGUGCGAGAUGCGUCAUUCGUGGUCGCAGAUAAAUGUAUAAGUAUAAUUUUUCUUUAAUAAAUUAUUCAAAAUAUUAUUGAAAUAUUACCAAAUGAUCCCUUAUAGUAUAUUAAAUAAUAGAAAUAUUUAUUUAUUGUGGAAAUAAUUUAACUUCUCUUUUAGGGAUGCAAAUGGAUUUAGAUUGGUGGAGCUCUUGCCCUGAUCUGUCCAAAAUAGGGUGGUAAGUGAUUCCGAAUCUGAUCUGAUCCGCCAACUAAAUGGAACGGGAGGUGGGGGACUCCUCUCUUCCUUUAAUUUGCCCCGAUUUGCUAAAAAUCUGUCAAAAAUUUGCUUUCAUUCUGAUCGGCUUCGAUCCGUUAAAAUUUCAUCAAAAAUUUGCUUCCAUCCUGAUUCACUCUGAAUGAAGCACGAUAAGUGAAGAUCUGCCUGAAUUCGAUCCUAUCCGAUAAAAAAUAAAACAUGAAGGUGAGAGACUUCUUUCUUCGAUUUCGCCUGUUUGAAUCCUUCUUCCCUUCCACUUGGACGAAACAGAGGUGCCUGGCAGCACAAUUUGAACAAAGUGGCUUUUCCAUAGUUUCAUAGCAUACUAGUGAGAUACCCGCGCGAUGCUGCAGAUAUAAAAAUAUUUUCAUAAUAAAUUUUAUUUGUUUAAUAUUUUUAUAUAGUUUUAUAAGUCUAAUUAUUAAUUAAAUAAAAAUUAUAUAAAAAUAAUUUAAUAGUUAAAUCUAUUUAAAUAAAAGUUAUUAAAAUUGGUAUAUGCGCAAAGUAAAUUUAUACAAUAAUUUAUUUUAUAAAAAUUUAUAUGAAAAGAAUUUGAGAUAAAUCUAUCAAAAAAAUUUUAAAAAAAUCAAUAAAUAGAAGGAAAAUAAAAUUGUAGAAGAAAUUGUUUAAUAAAAUUAAUUAUAUAUAUACACAUAUACACUAUAUUUCUAAAAUUUUAGUCAUAAAAUUUACAUUCUAUAUUUUUUUAUACAGCUAUCAGGUUAGAUUUUAUUACGUGAUUUGUUACGCGUAUUAUUAAUAAAAUUAAUUAAUUAGUUUCAUAGAAUUUAGAGAUUUAAAAUUUAAAAUUUUGAAGUUUAAAAUUUGAAAAUAAAUAUUAUAAGUUAAAAUUGAAAUUUACAAUUUAAAAUAUAAAAUUUGAAAGUAUCAAAGGUUUCGGGGGGACACGUGUCACUUUUUGGUCCCCCCAAAUCCUCCUUUAAUGUAGUAGAAAGAAUAGAUUUUACACAGAAUUUUUUCGCAUUUAGCCCCUCUCAAAAUUUAUUUUUUAUAAAUAGUCUAAUAAAUUUAUAUUUGUAUAAAUAAUCGUGUUUAAACAUGAUGAUUUAUUUAUCCUGUUCAACUUAAAAUUUCAAACAUGACGCUCGCAUGACAAGGAGAAGGUCAUAUGUAUAAAUAUAAAUUUAUUAGAGUUAUUUAUAAAAUUAAUUUUUUUUUGAGAG